Molecule: ribosomal RNA, 474 nt
Filed under: Dynamena quadridentata
Lineage: Eukaryota; Metazoa; Cnidaria; Hydrozoa; Leptothecata; Sertulariidae
Description: partial 16S ribosomal RNA
Rfam family: Bacterial large subunit ribosomal RNA
Source: RNAcentral
AAAAUUUAAAGGACGCGGUAACCUUGACCGUGAUAAUGUAGCAUAAUCAUUCGCCAUUUAAUUGAUGGAUAGUAUGAAUGGUUGAACGAAUAUUUCACUGUCUUAAAAAGAAAUACCCAAAAAUUAGAAUAAUAGUAAAGAUACUAUUUAAGAUUGUAAGACGAAAAGACCCUAUAGAGCUUAACUAUAAUCUCUUUAUAAAAAAAAAAAGAAAAUUAUUCUAAAAAUAAAGAGAUAGGUAGUUUAGUUGGGGCGACUAUCUUUUAAAAUAAACAAAGAUAAGCAAAGUAAAUAAAAAAACUUAUUGUAUAAUUAAUAAAUUUAACAAUUAUAAAAAUAGGCUAUAAUGACCCGUUAUAAUUUAAUAAUAAAAAUAACGAUCAAUAAAUAAAAGCUACCUUAGGGAUAACAGGAUAAUUUUAUUUUAGAGACCUAAUCGAAAAUAAAGUUUGUCACCUCUAUGUUGAAUUAAGA